Molecule: long non-coding RNA, 550 nt
Organism: Oreochromis aureus
Lineage: Eukaryota; Metazoa; Chordata; Actinopteri; Cichliformes; Cichlidae
Exons: 3
Source: RefSeq, a predicted model, not a curated record
GGUUGUGAUUGCCUGGAUGUCAAGUGUUUGAUGCCCAGAGGAAGCUUGUCGGGGAGACUUGCCAUCGCCUUUUGAUAUCCGUCCUCUUCUCCUAUUUUACCUGGUUGAUAGGAGGUUGAAGUACAGGGUUGCUCAUUUAUAUCAUAAUCCUUCAUCUGCUUGCUGCUGAUUAUCUGAAGCCAACUCUGUAACAUUGUGCUCCCAGAGCUUCAGCUUUGCUGACAUCUCCUCCUUCUGGAUUGCAGCUUCUUUUAUAUAUAGCUGCCUACAGUUUAUGUUAGCCAGCAGCAAUAAUUAGUUAUUGAGUCAAUGCUACGCAAUGUAAUGCAAGGUGAUGGGUUGUGAAAUGUUUGGAUCUUUAUCAGAUGUUUAUUCAGAAACAUUUCAGUGGCUAUAGCAUUUGCUGUAAGUAAUUUCCAUAGCUUCAAAAGACUCACCUGGAGCCAUAACACAAUAAUAGAAAUGCUAAAUUUGUAUGCUAUUGCUACAUAAGGAGAUGAGCAAGAUUCCUCCUACAGCUGAUAAACACAUAACUUAACUACACUGAGAU